Molecule: long non-coding RNA, 511 nt
Organism: Sceloporus undulatus (fence lizard)
Lineage: Eukaryota; Metazoa; Chordata; Lepidosauria; Squamata; Phrynosomatidae
Exons: 4
Source: RefSeq, a predicted model, not a curated record
GGGGGAGGAAGGAAGGAGCAGGAGGAGGAGGAGGAGGAGGAUUCCCAUUCCAUUUGUUAGCAGAGCAUGCCAUUUGUGAGGAAUGCAGAGGAACACCUGCACCUGAGCACUGACUUUACUUAUCUUCAGACAGACUGCUCCUCUUCACAACCCAGACAGGAGAGAUAAGAGUUUAGAUACUGUUGAAAGAAACUCAGUCCGGUUGGCUCUUCUUACUGCUCAAAGCACCAUGCUCAAACUUCAAGCAGCCUCAUCCUCCCAUCUUGCUCAACUGCACAUAUGUGCUGAGAGGACUAUAAAGGGUGCUACAAAAUCUCUUUGCAUACCGAUAUAAACCCAGUUAUGUAUCAGAGCUUGGAAAUGUCACCUUCACAGACAACAACUCCAGGAUACCCUCUGCUGGCCGGGGAGUUAGCUGUAGCCUAUAUGACUUCCCCAAGUUCUGUGGGAGCUUGUAUUACACACUAAAGAAAUCAAAAUUCUAUAUCAAGUCAUUAAAAUUCUGCAUCAA